RNAcentral lists this ribosomal RNA (253 nucleotides) under uncultured bacterium. RNAcentral's name for it is "partial 16S ribosomal RNA". It matches the Rfam family "Bacterial small subunit ribosomal RNA", at positions 524 to 776 of the family's 1533-position model. The record is from RNAcentral.
UACGGAGGGUGCAAGCGUUAUCCGGAUUCACUGGGUUUAAAGGGUGCGUAGGAGGGCAGGUAAGUCAGUGGUGAAAUCUCCAAGCUUAACUUGGAAACUGCCGUUGAUACUAUCUGUCUUGAAUACCGUGGAGGUGAGCGGAAUAUGUCAUGUAGCGGUGAAAUGCUUAGAUAUGACAUAGAACACCAAUUGCGAAGGCAGCUCGCUACACGAAUAUUGACUCUGAGGCACGAAAGCUAGGGGAGCAAACGGG